AAUCUUAUGGUUUUAUAUAAGACAAUUUCUGCCCAAUGAUUUUUUUAAUGGCCGCAGUACCUUGACUGUGCUAAGGUAGCAUAAUAAAUUGGCUUUUAAAUGGAGUCUAGAAUGAAAGAACACUUGGGUAAAAAUUGUCUUUACUUUGUUUUAUUGAAUUUUUUUAUUAAGUGAAAAUACUUAAAUUUAUUUAGAAAGACGAGAAGACCCUUAGAAUUUUAAAAAAAAUUAAUUUUUAUUUUUUGUUGGGGUGACACAUUAACAUUUUAAACUUUUUUUUUAACUAGACAGAUUUUCAAGAUAGAGAAAAUUACCUUAGGGAUAACAGCAUAAUUUUUUUUUAAGAUUAUGACCUCGAUGUUGGACUAGGAACCUAAUAAUUAGUAAUUAAAUUGGUUAGUUCUGUUCGAACUAUUUUCUCCU
RNAcentral lists this ribosomal RNA (423 nucleotides) under Gulella poutrini. Its description in RNAcentral is "Maurennea poutrini partial 16S ribosomal RNA". The record is from RNAcentral. Lineage: Eukaryota; Metazoa; Mollusca; Gastropoda; Stylommatophora; Streptaxidae.